GGCUCAGAACGAACGCUGGCGGCGUGCCUAACACAUGCAAGUCGAGCGAGAAAGGGGUAGCAAUACCCCGAGUAAAGCGGCGCACGGGUGAGUAACACGUAGGUAACCUACCUCUAAGACCGGGAUAACUCGUCGAAAGAUGGGCUAAUACCGAAUAAGACCACGGGGACCAAAGUUCCCGGGGUAAAAGAUGGCCUCUAUUUAUAAGCUAUCACUUGAGGAUGAGCCCGCGGCCCAUUAGCUAGUUGGCAGGGUAACGGCCUACCAAGGCGAUGAUGGGUAGCUGGUCUGAGAGGACGAUCAGCCACACUGGAACUGAGACACGGUCCAGACUCCUACGGGAGGCAGCAGUGGGGAAUAUUGCGCAAUGGGCGAAAGCCUGACGCAGCAACGCCGCGUGGGGGAUGAAGGUUCUCGGAUUGUAAACCCCUUUCGACCGGAACGAAUCCCCUCCUGGUAAAUAAUCAGGAGGAUCGACGGUACCGGGAGAAGAAGCCACGGCUAACUCUGUGCCAGCAGCCGCGGUAAGACAGAGGUGGCGAGCGUUGUUCGGAUUUAUUGGGCGUAAAGCGUACGCAGGCGGUUUGGUAAGUCAGAGGUGAAAGCCCACAGCUUAACUGUGGCACUGCCUUUGAUACUGCCUUUCUAGAGUGCAUGAGGGGGAAGCGGAAUUCCGAGUGUAGAGGUGAAAUUCGUAGAUAUUCGGAGGAACACCGGUGGCGAAGGCGGCUUCCUGGCAUGUAACUGACGCUCAUGUACGAAAGCGUGGGGAGCAAACAGGAUUAGAUACCCUGGUAGUCCACGCCCUAAACGAUGGGCACUAGGUGUGGGAGGUAUCGACCCCUUCCGUGCCGCAGCUAACGCAUUAAGUGCCCCGCCUGGGGAGUACG
Molecule: ribosomal RNA, 890 nt
Filed under: uncultured bacterium
Lineage: Bacteria
Description: bacterial SSU rRNA
Rfam family: Bacterial small subunit ribosomal RNA
Source: RNAcentral